CAUAUGUAUUCAACAAUGAAAAUAAACUUUAACAUUUAAACUAGAGUACCGAAACACAAAACCCUAGGAACUUCUUGAUGAUUACAAUCAAACGAUCAAAAACAUACAUAACAGAAAGGACUAGAAGUCAUAUACCAAUGAAAAGACCAUGAUCUGGUAAUAUUGAGACCUCUACGAGAAUCCAAAAUAGAAGCCCUUCAACGGUGAUCCACGCAGGA
This 218-nucleotide long non-coding RNA is filed under the name Elaeis guineensis (African oil palm). RNAcentral's name for it is "long non-coding RNA (EGUI_LNC044458)". The record is from RNAcentral. Lineage: Eukaryota; Viridiplantae; Streptophyta; Magnoliopsida; Arecales; Arecaceae.